RNAcentral lists this ribosomal RNA (253 nucleotides) under uncultured bacterium. RNAcentral's name for it is "partial 16S ribosomal RNA". It matches the Rfam family "Bacterial small subunit ribosomal RNA", at positions 524 to 776 of the family's 1533-position model. The record is from RNAcentral.
UACGUAGGUGGCAAGCGUUGUCCGGAUUUACUGGGCGUAAAGGGCGUGCAGGCGGUUUGUUAAGUCUAGGGUGAAAGCUCCCGGCUCAACUGGGAGAGGUCCUUGGAUACUGGCGAACUUGAGGGAUGCAGAGGAAAGUGGAAUUCCCGGUGUAGUGGUGAUAUGCGUAGAUAUCGUAAGGAAGACCAGUGGCGAAGGCGGGUCUCUGGACAGUUCCUGACGCUGAGGCACGAAGGCCAGGGGAGCAAACGGG